AGGAUGAACGCUAGCGGCAGGCCUAAUACAUGCAAGCUGAACGGUAAAUAGUGUAGCAAUACAUUAUGAGAGUAGCGUAAGGGUGCGUAACACGUAUGCAAUCUGCCCUGUACAGGAGGAUAGCUCGGGGAAACCCGGAUUAAUACUCCGUAAUAUUAUUGGGAGGCAUCUUUCGAUAAUUAAAGUUGCAAGAUGGUACAGGAUGAGCAUGCGUCUGAUUAGCUAGUUGGUAGUGUAACGGACUACCGAAGGCGAUGAUCGAGUUAGGGGAACUGGAGAGGUUGAACUCCCCCACACUGGCAUGAGAGUACCGGGCCAGACUACCGUACGGGAGCAGGCAGUAAGGGAAUAGUUGGGCUAAAGUGGGUAGAGAGACCUAGAACC
Molecule: ribosomal RNA, 384 nt
Filed under: uncultured soil bacterium
Lineage: Bacteria
Description: bacterial SSU rRNA
Rfam family: Bacterial small subunit ribosomal RNA
Source: RNAcentral